Molecule: ribosomal RNA, 255 nt
Filed under: uncultured bacterium
Lineage: Bacteria
Description: partial 16S ribosomal RNA
Rfam family: Bacterial small subunit ribosomal RNA
Source: RNAcentral
CAAAGUGAAGAUGGCGACCGGCGCACGGGUGAGUAACACGUAUCCAACCUGCCGAUAACCCGGGGAUAGCCUUUCGAAAGAAAGAUUAAUACCCGAUGGUAUAAUAAAGCCGCAUGGUUUAAUUAUUAAAGAAUUUCGGUUAUCGAUGGGGAUGCGUUCCAUUAGGCAGUUGGUGAGGUAACGGCUCACCAAACCUUCGAUGGAUAGGGGUUCUGAGAGGAAGGUCCCCCACAUUGGAACUGAGACACGGUCCAA